Molecule: long non-coding RNA, 4984 nt
Organism: Vespa crabro (European hornet)
Lineage: Eukaryota; Metazoa; Arthropoda; Insecta; Hymenoptera; Vespidae
Exons: 2
Source: RefSeq, a predicted model, not a curated record
AAGAUAUGGAUAUAUUAACAAUGAUAAAAUAUUGCGAUGAAAGUAAUCUUUAUAUUAACUUUUCAAUUUUUCAAUUUUUUUGAAAUUUGAUAACUAAAAUGCUCAUAUACGCUUCUAAAACACCGGAAUUUUGUGUGAACAUUGCAUAACUACAUCCGAGUAUAUCAGAGAGAGAGAGAGAGAGAGAGAGAGAGAGAGAGAGAGAGAGAGAGAAAGAGAGAGAGAGAGAGAAGACAUAGACAAAGAGGAUGAGGAGAAGGAGGAAGAGUCAUCGUUGGUGAAGCGCCCUAUCUAAUCUCCUACACUUUCGGCUGCCAUCUUGAAAGCAAAGAGCCGUGCCCCACGGAUUAUCUAACGAAUUUCUAAAGCGUUCGCCUAUCCCAAGGUCUCAACCGUUUUCUCUCUCUCUCUCUUUCUCUCACGUGUCACUUUUCCCUUCCUUCUCGACCACUCUGAUCAGUCACUCUUCUUAACUGUCCGUCUCUCCAAACUGUGCCACGCCUCGAUCCUCUGUCUCUUUCUCCCUUCCUCAAUCUAUCCCCCACCUCCUCUUAUCCAUAUGAUUCUUUAAAAUGGUGCGGAAGAUAUCGAACGAGCGGCGAACGAUAAGAUACGACGAUAAGCAGGGGAUCGCGUUUGUUCGAAUUUUAUCUAGCUCGAAUCGAGCUAGAGCUUUCGAACGAGGAGGCGGGAAAGUGAAGAAACGUUGAAAAAUUCUAUGCUUUUCGUCUUUCAAUAGCUUACUCUUUCGUUGAUCGAACACUUCGAACCGUGAAAGAUAGUAUAUAUUCUGUUGUAAGCAAAAAGAGGUCACGAUAAGAAACGAAAAAAAGUAAGACGAUUCUUGCUACACUAAAUGAAAGAAAAAAAAAAAAAAGAAAAAAAGAAAAAAGGAAGAAAAAAGAAAAAUUAUAUUUUCUCAAUAUUAUCGAAUCAUACUUAAUCAUUUUGCAUGGAAGAUGUUUUCCUAUAUGUUAACUUUUCGAUUUUUAUCGAAAAUAAAUAAAUAUUAUUCUCUUUCAUAUAUUAUUAAAUUCAUAUAUCGUUUGUUAAUUAUUCGUAAAAACAAAAAAAAAAGAAAUCAAAAAAAUGAUUUAAAUAUUGCAUAUGAGAGGAUUAAAUCUCUUUAUUCCGUUUGAAAGUUUGCGAAUAGACAACGUUCUAGCUGGCGAUUAGACUUUAAAUUUCAAAUCGCAGCAGUGACUGCAUUAAAUUGUCUCCUAUUAAAAGUGUCAUGGCCAUGCUCAGAGAGAGAUAAAAAGAGAGAGAGAGAGAGAGAGAGAGAGAGAGAGAGAGAACAUCGAGUAUUGCGGCACAACGAGAACGUAGUGUUCUCGAGUCUUGAAAAAUUUUGGUGAAUGCAAAGGAAACGAUAAAGAGGGAAACCGCGAACGAUAAAACGAGGUCGGUAAGACGAUUAAUAUCCGCGAUAUUAUUACCUAACCUAACGGAGAUAGCAAACGGUUAGUCGGGCGUGAAGAUCCCGUGCUUUUUUUUCCUCUCUUUUUCGCCUCUUACAAUCGAUCGAUCGAUUGAAAUCGAUACGAUAUCUUGAAAUAUCAAAACGUGCUAAAGUCCAACAAAUCCACAUUCUCUUCUCUCAUUGGCGUCAAACGGAAAAACGUGUAAGAUUGUUGUAAAAAGUGCAUUAACGUAUUCGCUAUUGCAAUUACUCUAUAAUCAUCAUCGAUGAUCGAUGAUAUUAAAUUUAUUCAUUGCUCUAUAACAUGAAAAAGUUUGUUAAUGUAGAAUUAUUUUUCAUUUCAAUUAUAUGUUUCUUCUAUAUUUAUAAUGGACAAUGUGUCAAUUGUUAUUAUUAACGAUUAGAUUUUAAAGUAAACAAACAUAACGUGUCAAUUCGAUGAAUUAUUUUAAAAUCGUAAGAAAACCAAAGCGAGUCAAAACAUUACUAAUAUUCGCAAUAAUACGUUAUCUUUUUUUCUGCAAUUUCUUUUUUUUUUUUUCACUUUUCGUAUCAAAAAUUUAUCAUCGAGAGCGACCGAGUGCAUUGUGCGUAUUAUUGAUAAGAGUAGGUACAGUAUCAUCCUACGCAAUAAUUAAUCAUUAUAUUUUUGCAAUAAUAAAAGUGUGGUAUUGUUGUCUGAAAAAAUUAGCAUGACAGUGAACGUGUUAAAAGCGAUCUAUGACCGUAAGACAAAGCUAUGUUAUACGAUCGUCGAAACAGGUUCCGAGCGCACUCGAGUGUCGCGCGUCGUUAACGCAACGCAACAACGAAAGGAGCGUGCUCGGUUCUCUAAAAAUAGAAGUUGAUGUCUUCGACUAACUAACGCGCGUACUUCGAAUCGGCCGGUUAGAACGAAACAAAGACGCGAGAACGUUUGCUUCUAAUCGAGCUCGCGUGUUGCGCGUUGGAAAGAGAGAGAGAGAGAGAGAGAGAGAGAGAGAGAGAGAGAGAGAGAGAGAAAGAGAGAGAGAGAGAAAGAGAAAGAGAGAGAGAAGAUGCAAGGAUCGAUACCUUCGAAGCGUCGACCGAGAAAACUGCGUCGUUCUCCGUUAACGCCCGCGGUGUAUCCGGAAAGCAACUUCUUAACCUGUUGAUGCCCGGCUUAUUUAAACUUGCCGCCUUUCAAACUCUCCAUUUCCUAUCGAUUUAGAAAAGAAAUUCGUUCAAGAUCCUAACACUUCAAAUAUUUUAUACGUAAAUACAUGUUUUCUCUCUCUCUCUCUCUCUCUCUCUCUCUCUCUCUCUCUCCUUCUCGAUAUAUUAUAUGAACAUAGAUUCUGAUCAUGAAAUAUAGAUUCGCAUAAAUUAGCACGAAGUAAGAAGUAAGCUAUGAAUGAAUAUAAAAAGAAAAAAAAACAAACUAUCUUCAAAAUUGUCAUAGAUCAUGGAUCGAAGAUUAAUCGAUAGGAAAAUGAGUAAAUCUCUUAUAAAUUUACUAAAGAUUUCAUAAUACAUGUUAUUGAGAAGAAAUGCGAGAGAAAAUCGAGGAAUUUUCAAGUGCAUUCGGGACCUCGUACUUUCGGCGAAAGUUUGAAAAGGGCGAGGAGACUUCGUGUUUGCCGGUCGAAGAAGAAAGAGGAGUAGGAGGAGAAGGAGGAGGAGGAGAGGAGAGGAGAGGAGUGGAGAAGAGAGGAGACGAUAGGAGGAGGGGGAAGAGUAGUAGUUGCACGUUGAGGGGCGCGUGCAGUGCAUGCACGUGUAUCGGGAGAGAGAGAGAAAGAGAAUGAGAGUAGAGUAGAGUAGAGUAGAGUAGAGUGUUUCAUCGUCACCGUCAUCGUCACUGUCGUCGUCGUCGUCGCCGUCGUCGUCGUCGUCGUCGGAUGCGCGCGCGCGCUCGCGCGCACCUCUAGUCGGACUCCUACUAGUCGAGGUGGUGGUGGUGGUGGUGAUGGUAGCAAUGGUAGUGGUGGUGCUGGUGGUGGUUGAUGCUGCUGCUGGUGGUGGUGGUGGUGGUGCUGGUGGUGGUGCUGGUGGUGGUGGUGGUGGUGGUGGUGUACAAUAGUGGUGGGGAGUAGAGGUGGUGGAUGGCGGCGCUCUAAGCGCGGCGCGACGCGCCGUCGAGACGCGGAUGCAGUUACGGGAGCGCAGCGCGACCAAACGCAACUCGACAGACGUCGCAUAUCCGGAUCAAACGUCGAGGUCUGCCUGCCUGCCUGUCUGCCCGCCUGCCCGCCUGUUUCUCCUCUCUGUCCGUCGUUAAUCGUUGAAAAAAAGGGAGAGAGAGAGACAGAGAAGGAGAGAGAUAUAUAUAGAGAGAGAGAGAGAGAGAAAGAGAGAGAGAUCUUAUAUUCGAUUUCAAGGAAGAAGAAGAUAGGAGUGCGUAAGAGAGAGAGAGAGAGAGAGAGAGAGAAAGAAAGAGAGACUGUCGGUGAAGUAUUUGUGUAGUAUAUCUGUGCAAAAGAGAAAAAGAGAGAAAGAGAAAAUCUGUUCUUGUUCGUUAUUAUCGUUUUGCCGCUCGGUGUAUAAAACCGUUGCUGUUGUUGUUGCUGUUGCUCUUCUCGAGCAAAAGUGUGCGUUUUUGGGAAGAAGAAGAGGAGGAGGAGGAGGAGGAGAAGGAAAUAGAGAGAGAAGAAAAAGAGGAAGAGGAGGAGGAGGAGGAGAAGAAGGAAGAAGAGGAGGAGAAGGAGGAGGAGGAGGUGGUGAUGGUGGUGGUGGUGGUGGAUAAGGCGGACUUUUCAUGGCAAACGUUUACCGGUGGAUCGAGUCCUUGAAGAAAAGACAGCCAGCAAGUCGAUGCAUUCUUCCUCUAGAUCUUUACGUCUACGUCGAUUCGGAAAACGGUAAUAACGACGAUUAACGGAGGAGUAAAAAGAAGGAUCUUUUGGAUCGGUGAAACGCGCGCGCAUCUGAACUAGCGCUCGUGUCCGAAGAGGAGGCGGAGGAGGAGGAGGAGGAGGAGGAGGAGAGGGAAAGGGAGAGGGGGAGGACGAGGAGGAGGAGAGCAACAGGCUCUCCUUCGGUCGGUGACGCAAGGAGGAGGAGGAGGAGGAGGAGGAGGAGGUGGAGAAGGUGGUGGUUGAGAAGAGUUCCAGUCGAUUUCGUUGUCGUCGUCGUGUGCUCUCCCAUAUCUACUUAUAUAUUCGAGAAAUAUCAUUUUUAAAUAUCUUCGAGCAUUUAUCUUAAUUCAUCGUGUCUCGUGUAUCACCCGUCCGUAUAGAUAAAAAAAAAAAAAAAAAAGAAAAAAAAAGAAUAAGACAGAUAAAGGAGUUUCUUCUGUGUUUCUUCUUUUCCUGUGUACAUUUAAGAAGAUUAAAAAGUAUGACGAAAAGAAGGAGGACUCGACCGUUGUUGCAUCGAGAAGAUCGGCUCUCGCUGAUUGGAGGACACUGUUCGCUGAUCAUCCUCGGAUUUUGAAGGAAUCAUCUUUAAAAAAAGAAAGAGAGAGGGAGGGAGAGAAAGAGAAAGAGAGAGGAGGGGGGAAGAAAAAAGAAAAAGAGUUCGCGCAACACGCGAUCAGUUACAAUCGGUAAGAGAGAAAGAGAUAGUUGAAGAAGUCUGGUCGUUUCGGUGCAGGAAGAA